UUGUGUGUGUUUUGGUUCGGAUGCUGAUGUAAGUCCAGUGAUUGGCAUUCAGGCUCCAUGUUUGCCUGCUUUUGUGUUUUGUUUUGUUUGGCGUCCCUAUGUAGCCGAGCUACGGCAACUCUGAUUCUCAUGUUCAAAUGAGAUACGUAGGCACAAGAUGCGAUGUCUUGCCGAGUUUGACUAACGACUAACAACUAAUCCUUAUUUUCUUUCGCCCUUGUUG
Molecule: long non-coding RNA, 223 nt
Filed under: Lathyrus oleraceus (garden pea)
Lineage: Eukaryota; Viridiplantae; Streptophyta; Magnoliopsida; Fabales; Fabaceae
Description: Pisum sativum (pea) long non-coding RNA (PSAT_LNC009954)
Source: RNAcentral